UAGGUACCAGAAAAGAAUAUGAGAGACGUG
Molecule: non-coding RNA, 30 nt
Filed under: Rattus norvegicus (Norway rat)
Lineage: Eukaryota; Metazoa; Chordata; Mammalia; Rodentia; Muridae
Source: RNAcentral